UACGUGGGGGGCAAGCGUUGUUCGGAAUUACUGGGCGUAAAGGGCUCGUAGGCGGCCAACUAAGUCGGACGUGAAAUCCCUCGGCUUAACCGAGGAACUGCGUCCGAUACUGGAUGGCUUGAGUUCGGGAGAGGGAUGCGGAAUUCCAGGUGUAGCGGUGAAAUGCGUAGAUAUCUGGAGGAACACCGGUGGCGAAGGCGGCAUCCUGGACCGAUACUGACGCUGAGGAGCGAAAGCGUGGGGAGCAAACAGG
RNAcentral lists this ribosomal RNA (253 nucleotides) under uncultured bacterium. RNAcentral's name for it is "partial 16S ribosomal RNA". It matches the Rfam family "Bacterial small subunit ribosomal RNA", at positions 524 to 776 of the family's 1533-position model. The record is from RNAcentral.